This 332-nucleotide long non-coding RNA is filed under the name Monodelphis domestica (gray short-tailed opossum). Its description in RNAcentral is "lncRNA (ENSMODG00000038626.1)". Lineage: Eukaryota; Metazoa; Chordata; Mammalia; Didelphimorphia; Didelphidae. The record is from RNAcentral.
UCCAGCGAAAUUAUUUAUUUGCUGUUCUCUGUAUGUGACAUCCCAUCUUCUCCCUUUAUGUCUUUGCUAGGAAGCACCCUAUGCCUGAAAUGUCCUUCCUUCCCAUUUCUACCUCUUGGACUCCCUAGCUCCAUUGAGAUUCUUUUCAAUUAUUGCUCACUGCACAAAAUAGUAAAAGAGAAGUUCAGGUCCUCAUUCAAAAACAUGGAGAAUGCUGAGGAAGCAAGAUAUCCGGGAACCCCCACUAGGGUUGUUCCAUUGCUGGCGUACUUUCAUUUUUAAUAAAUACAUGAUAUUGAUUGCUGCUCUUCAUGUGAUUUAUUGUGAAAAAA